This 28-nucleotide non-coding RNA is filed under the name Cricetulus griseus (Chinese hamster). The record is from RNAcentral. Lineage: Eukaryota; Metazoa; Chordata; Mammalia; Rodentia; Cricetidae.
UCUGUAAUAAUCUGUCAUUGGACUUGUU